RNAcentral lists this ribosomal RNA (521 nucleotides) under uncultured bacterium. RNAcentral's name for it is "bacterial SSU rRNA". It matches the Rfam family "Bacterial small subunit ribosomal RNA", at positions 348 to 859 of the family's 1533-position model. The record is from RNAcentral.
GCAGCAGUGGGGAAUUUUGGACAAUGGGGGCAACCCUGAUCCAGCCAUNCCGCGUGAGUGAAGAAGGCCUUCGGGUUGUAAAGCUCUUUCGCAAGGGAAGAAACGGCCAUAUCUAAUAAAUAUGGCUAAUGACGGUACCUUGAUAAGAAGCACCGGCUAACUACGUGCCAGCAGCCGCGGUAAUACGUAGGGUGCGAGCGUUAAUCGGAAUUACUGGGCGUAAAGCGAGCGCAGGCGGUUUUGUAAGCCAGAUGUGAAAUCCCCGGGCUCAACCUGGGAACUGCGUUUGGAACUGCAAGGCUAGAGUGUGUCAGAGGGAGGUAGAAUUCCACGUGUAGCAGUGAAAUGCGUAGAGAUGUGGAGGAAUACCGAUGGCGAAGGCAGCCUCCUGGGAUAACACUGACGCUCAUGCUCGAAAGCGUGGGGAGCAAACAGGAUUAGAUAUCCCUGGUAGUCCACGCCCUAAACGAUGUCUACUAGUUGUUGGAGGAGUGAAAUCCUUCAGUAACGCAGCUAACGCG